UAGCCGAAUACUGGGCACUGAAACUCGGCUGAGGACUUUAGAUCGACGCCCACCAAACUCUCUCCCCUCAGAAUGGUGCUCGAAUCAAGCCCUCUGUGAUGGAGAGAAGGUUUUCCAGUGAUGGCAACAGUUCCUAUGACAACCAGACCUCCACCGGGGGAUUGCGUCUGUCAGACAGUGCUAAUGAUAAUUGAGAGGCUGGAGUGGGCAGGCGUGCAGGUUUGGCCACAGGAAGACAUGAAUUCCUCAGAGAACAGAGGGUGUCAGGGUCCAGAACACAACUUGGGGGGGAGACAUACUGGACCUUGUAACGUCUAAUAAUCCUCCGAGUUGACCCCUGACCCCGGCCUGUGUUUGUAUCAGGUCAUCGACUUGAGAAAUCGGAUUGAGUCACUCCAGCAGUGUGUUUACCUUCUGGAGUCACGCAAGGAAGGAAAUAAGGCACGGUCUUCUAAAAGUGGCGGUGUGAGAGAGAAUAGCAGCAGUAUUAGAUCAGAGCCCUGAUUCAUCACACUGUGACUGGCCUCUUGUCCCGUUACACUGGGUUUAUUUAAUCUAUUCAUUACUGUAGGGAGACUAGCUACAGAUCAGCCAAAACAGGGAGUCAGUCUACAGUAUAGCGUACUGUAUGAAAACAUAAGGUAUGAGAUUAAUAGUGUAAUUCUGUAAUUGAAGUCUGAUUCACUCAUUGAGUGAAAUGAUCCGUGUACUGCAGUGAGGGUACAGCUUGUUUUUGCUAUCACUGUGUAAUAUGUUGCUAAUAGUCCGAACGUGUAUUAUUUUUGUCAUAAUAUUCUGCUGAGUGUGUUGCAGUCGUUCCAGUUUUUUGCUGUGCCCAAUGAAAUUAGGAGAGAUUUAGUCAUUUCCUUUCUCUGUCUCAUGCAACAAUCAUAAAUGAUAUGUGAAUGUGAUUUUUCUGUGUAAUAAUAAUUUAUUGCAAUACAUUUCUGACUCCCGGAUACAGAUUAUAUCUGGAAGAUCCCUUGUAAUACGCUUUAGAGGAGAAAUCGCUGCAUUCCCAAAUACAUUGUUUUUAUCUUGAACAUGAAACUGGAAUGAGUAUGGAACUGUGGCCAACACCUGUGAUUAAAAUACAAUGUCCGGGCCUACCAUCACGCUGUAUGUAGCCUUCCACACCGUGGGCUUGUGUGAUUGCACAAUUGUUGUUUUUGAGCAAGUGCCCCUGUUAGUUUUACUCUGUAAAUAAAGAUGUGCUCCGAGCUGACAAUUCAUCCU
RNAcentral lists this long non-coding RNA (1236 nucleotides) under Salmo trutta (river trout). RNAcentral's name for it is "lncRNA (ENSSTUG00000021016.1)". The record is from RNAcentral. Lineage: Eukaryota; Metazoa; Chordata; Actinopteri; Salmoniformes; Salmonidae.